AGAACAGCCUCUUUAUAAAGUCCUGCUUUUGUAUGAACUGACCUGAUUGUGAGUAGAUGUAUGUGAAUAGCAGAUUGUGUAUCUACAUUCUAUUAACAGGCCUGAUUGUGUAUCUACAUUCCAUUAACUGACCUGAUUGUCAAUAGCUCAUGUAACUCCCUAUCCGUCCAUUUGAAGUUCAGGUGACAUACAUUCCAUCUGAGAUCCUUCGAUAACAGGUUUCAUGAGAAUUUUGCAACAAGAUUCAGAAGAAAGGUCUGGUUUUAAGAAAGAAGGCAAGCAUAUAAAAAGGGUGAAUAUGGGUGGGUUGGCUGGUUGCGCUGGCCGGUUUGACCUGUUUGGCAGCUUCACGCUUUGGUUUUGGCGCACCCAAAAAAAGGCUUUCAAAACCACCACUGACAACAUGAUACCUACUCUUACCUCUAGCUACACAAGCAUGAAAACCAAGCAAUCUUAAUAAAAGUUGCCAAUUUAUGGGGUGAAACAAUGUUCUUGAAUGACAAUCAUGGGGAACUUAUGUCUUCGGUCGGGUAUGUGUUUGGACAACAAAGAACAUUUUCAAGAUGUUUCAAAGUGUGGUUUGGAACGAAAAUUACAAGUUCAAGCAAAUGAAAUCGGGUACCACAGUUAAAGUAGUAGUUUCUACAUUCUGUCAUGUUCUAUUUCACAGUGAAGGGCGUAGGCGAGGACUCGACAUAGGCGCAAAGACAGGAAGCACGACAACGGAGUAGUGAUGAUGAAGAUGAUCUGAGGAGGACAUAAGCUUUACUUCACAAAGCAUUAUCAGUUUGCAUAUUUUGAAAUUGCAGGCCAGUAGGCUAAGAUAGUGUACAACCACUCCAUGAAGGUAACGCGUUGAGUGGCAAGAGCAUUGGUACUAUGGUCCAUGCUGAGCAAUAUGGGAGUGACUUAGUUGAACUCAGGGUAUAAUCGACAAUUUAUACCACAACGUCAAGCCAAAACCGUUGAUUGUAGCAUUGUUGGGUUCUUUGAUAAAGAGUGGCUUUCAAAGCUUCUUAAGGUUUCGGGUUCAGACAUUGUUGAUGUAAUGACACUUCAUUUGUAUAAUUUGGACCAGAAAUUUGAUUGAAGGGUGCAUGUUGAUAUGGUUGUGUGGAUGGCUUCACGAGCCUUUAGGUUGGAACAAGUCGCCAUAGAUUCUGCCAUAGUAGGGAUGUUGUGUGACCCAAUGGAACCCAAAGGAGGUUCAAAAUCUACCGACCAAUGUGGAUUGAUCGCAUUCCCAAUGUCGUUAAAGCAGCUUGGAACAAGAAAUGAACAAAUUUAAUGCUUUAGAAGGGUGGAAUGGAGCUACCUCAACGUUUUGGCUAUAUCUUCACUUGAGCCCAGCAAUGAAGGCCGGAAAGGCCACAAGAGCAGAGUUUAAUCCUUAACUGCUGAUGGAUUUUUUCAUGGUAGCAAUACAUACACUAGGAAACUAAGGUCAUUCUUUAUUUACUUCAACUAGAAUUGACAAUUUUGACCUGAUUAUUAUGAUGGGUUAACCAUGUUAUAUUUAUUUCAACUAGAACUGACAAUUUUGACCAGAGUUUAGUCAGUAAUGUGUGUUUAAUUGUUUACUUAUGCAUGUGAGGUUUAUUUUGGAAGAGCAUCAACCUUGAGUCACAGUUGUAAAGUUGGCACAAACUCAUGUUCUAAAGGAAGACAUGUAUUUAUUUGUUUAUUAUAACUUUUUCACCACUUUCAUACUAAUACUAAUACAGCCCAAUUCGGGUUAUUUAUAAUGAUGAUGGGUCAAACGGGUAAUUUAAAACGAGUAGACUUCCUGAAUGUUUUUAGUUUGAAAAAAGAGUAAAUUACUCGAAAAAUGCUCUUUUUAGUAGUUAAUUAGUUGCGCCAAAUAUUAGCGCACGAAAUAUAACGUCUAAUAAAUAUUAUAAGUCUUUGGUUUAAAUAUCUAGCAUGUUUUAUACGUUAAAAAUAUACUAUGGUUGACUUUUCACUCAUCUCCUUUUAAGCUACUCAUUUACCGGUUUGACC
Molecule: long non-coding RNA, 2001 nt
Organism: Helianthus annuus (common sunflower)
Lineage: Eukaryota; Viridiplantae; Streptophyta; Magnoliopsida; Asterales; Asteraceae
Exons: 7
Source: RefSeq, a predicted model, not a curated record